Molecule: ribosomal RNA, 1554 nt
Filed under: Salmonella sp. S13
Lineage: Bacteria; Pseudomonadati; Pseudomonadota; Gammaproteobacteria; Enterobacterales; Enterobacteriaceae
Description: bacterial SSU rRNA
Rfam family: Bacterial small subunit ribosomal RNA
Source: RNAcentral
AAAUUGAAGAGUUUGAUCAUGGCUCAGAUUGAACGCUGGCGGCAGGCCUAACACAUGCAAGUCGAACGGUAACAGGAAUCAGCUUGCUGAUUCGCUGACGAGUGGCGGACGGGUGAGUAAUGUCUGGGAAACUGCCUGAUGGAGGGGGAUAACUACUGGAAACGGUAGCUAAUACCGCAUAACGUCGCAAGACCAAAGAGGGGGACCUUCGGGCCUCUUGCCAUCGGAUGUGCCCAGAUGGGAUUAGCUAGUAGGUGGGGUAACGGCUCACCUAGGCGACGAUCCCUAGCUGGUCUGAGAGGAUGACCAGCCACACUGGAACUGAGACACGGUCCAGACUCCUACGGGAGGCAGCAGUGGGGAAUAUUGCACAAUGGGCGCAAGCCUGAUGCAGCCAUGCCGCGUGUAUGAAGAAGGCCUUCGGGUUGUAAAGUACUUUCAGCGGGGAGGAAGGGAGUAAAGUUAAUACCUUUGCUCAUUGACGUUACCCGCAGAAGAAGCACCGGCUAACUCCGUGCCAGCAGCCGCGGUAAUACGGAGGGUGCAAGCGUUAAUCGGAAUUACUGGGCGUAAAGCGCACGCAGGCGGUUUGUUAAGUCAGAUGUGAAAUCCCCGGGCUCAACCUGGGAACUGCAUCUGAUACUGGCAAGCUUGAGUCUCGUAGAGGGGGGUAGAAUUCCAGGUGUAGCGGUGAAAUGCGUAGAGAUCUGGAGGAAUACCGGUGGCGAAGGCGGCCCCCUGGACGAAGACUGACGCUCAGGUGCGAAAGCGUGGGGAGCAAACAGGAUUAGAUACCCUGGUAGUCCACGCCGUAAACGAUGUCGACUUGGAGGUUGUGCCCUUGAGGCGUGGCUUCCGGAGCUAACGCGUUAAGUCGACCGCCUGGGGAGUACGGCCGCAAGGUUAAAACUCAAAUGAAUUGACGGGGGCCCGCACAAGCGGUGGAGCAUGUGGUUUAAUUCGAUGCAACGCGAAGAACCUUACCUGGUCUUGACAUCCACGGAAGUUUUCAGAGAUGAGAAUGUGCCUUCGGGAACUGUGAGACAGGUGCUGCAUGGCUGUCGUCAGCUCGUGUUGUGAAAUGUUGGGUUAAGUCCCGCAACGAGCGCAACCCUUAUCCUUUGUUGCCAGCGGUCCGGCCGGGAACUCAAAGGAGACUGCCAGUGAUAAACUGGAGGAAGGUGGGGAUGACGUCAAGUCAUCAUGGCCCUUACGACCAGGGCUACACACGUGCUACAAUGGCGCAUACAAAGAGAAGCGACCUCGCGAGAGCAAGCGGACCUCAUAAAGUGCGUCGUAGUCCGGAUUGGAGUCUGCAACUCGACUCCAUGAAGUCGGAAUCGCUAGUAAUCGUGGAUCAGAAUGCCACGGUGAAUACGUUCCCGGGCCUUGUACACACCGCCCGUCACACCAUGGGAGUGGGUUGCAAAAGAAGUAGGUAGCUUAACCUUCGGGAGGGCGCUUACCACUUUGUGAUUCAUGACUGGGGUGAAGUCGUAACAAGGUAACCGUAGGGGAACCUGCGGUUGGAUCACCUCCUUACCUUAAAGAAGC